GAACGCUGGCGGCGUGCUUAACACAUGCAAGUCGAACGGAAAGGCCCUGCUUUUGUGGGGUGCUCGAGUGGCGAACGGGUGAGUAACACGUGAGUAACCUGCCCUUGACUUUGGGAUAACUUCAGGAAACUGGGGCUAAUACCGGAUAGGAGCUCCUGCUGCAUGGUGGGGGUUGGAAAGUUUCGGCGGUUGGGGAUGGACUCGCGGCUUAUCAGCUUGUUGGUGGGGUAGUGGCUUACCAAGGCUUUGACGGGUAGCCGGCCUGAGAGGGUGACCGGCCACAUUGGGACUGAGAUACGGCCCAGACUCCUACGGGAGGCAGCAGUGGGGAAUAUUGCACAAUGGGCGGAAGCCUGAUGCAGCAACGCCGCGUGCGGGAUGACGGCCUUCGGGUUGUAAACCGCUUUCGCCUGUGACGAAGCGUGAGUGACGGUAAUGGGUAAAGAAGCACCGGCUAACUACGUGCCAGCAGCCGCGGUGAUACGUAGGGUGCGAGCGUUGUCCGGAUUUAUUGGGCGUAAAGGGCUCGUAGGUGGUUGAUCGCGUCGGAAGUGUAAUCUUGGGGCUUAACCCUGAGCGUGCUUUCGAUACGGGUUGACUUGAGGAAGGUAGGGGAGAAUGGAAUUCCUGGUGGAGCGGUGGAAUGCGCAGAUAUCAGGAGGAACACCAGUGGCGAAGGCGGUUCUCUGGGCCUUUCCUGACGCUGAGGAGCGAAAGCGUGGGGAGCGAACAGGCUUAGAUACCCUGGUAGUCCACGCUGUAAACGGUGGGUACUAGGUGUGGGGUCCAUUCCACGGGUUCCGUGCCGUAGCUAACGCUUUAAGUACCCCGCCUGGGGAGUACGGCCGCAAGGCUAAAACUCAAAGGAAUUGACGGGGCCCCGCACAAGCGGCGGAGCAUGCGGAUUAAUUCGAUGCAACGCGUAGAACCUUACCUGGGUUUGACAUGGAUCGGGAGUGCUCAGAGAUGGGUGUGCCUCUUUUGGGGUCGGUUCACAGGUGGUGCAUGGCUGUCGUCAGCUCGUGUCGUGAGAUGUUGGGUUAAGUCCCGCAACGAGCGCAACCCUUGUCCACUGUUGCCAGCACGUUAUGGUGGGGACUCAGUGGAGACCGCCGGGGUCAACUCGGAGGAAGGUGGGGAUGACGUCAAGUCAUCAUGCCCCUUAUGUCCAGGGCUUCACGCAUGCUACAAUGGCUGGUACAGAGAGUGGCGAGCCUGUGAGGGUGAGCGAAUCUCGGAAAGCCGGUCUCAGUUCGGAUUGGGGUCUGCAACUCGACCUCAUGAAGUCGGAGUCGCUAGUAAUCGCAGAUCAGCAACGCUGCGGUGAAUACGUUCCCGGGGCUUGUACACACCGCCCGUCAAGUCAUGAAAGUUGGUAACACCCGAAGCCGGUGGCCUAACCGUUGUGGGGGAGCCGUCGAAGGUGGGACUGGUGAUUAGGACUAAGUC
This 1449-nucleotide ribosomal RNA is filed under the name uncultured organism. RNAcentral's name for it is "16S ribosomal RNA". It matches the Rfam family "Bacterial small subunit ribosomal RNA". The record is from RNAcentral.